RNAcentral lists this long non-coding RNA (917 nucleotides) under Gallus gallus (chicken). RNAcentral describes it as "long non-coding RNA NONGGAT004195". Lineage: Eukaryota; Metazoa; Chordata; Aves; Galliformes; Phasianidae. The record is from RNAcentral.
CAAUAGAAUAGCUAAGGCAGUUCAUGCCUUUCACACGAAAGACGUUGCACGGGGCCCUCCCUUCCCCUUCCUGCCACCCCUCCGCCCUCCCACAGGCAGGAAGCACUCCGUGCCCGCUCGCACUGCAGGAGACACACAGCUCUAGUGUGGGCGAAGCCACUCACUCAAACACUUCCAAGGGCACGCUGAUGUCGUGAAGCUGCUGCCGGCACUUGUCGAUGUCCUGUAGGCCCGUCACCAUGAAAUUCCUGCAGGGAGAAAAGCGGAGCUGCUUAGCGCAAAGCGGGCGCUCCUCACUCCCCGCCACCGCGCCCGGCGGGGCCUCAACCCCUGCCCGGCCCGGCCCCGCUCCCGCCGCCAACAGACGCCUCGAACGCAGGGAGCGGCUCACAGUUUCUGGUUGAGGCCGGCCUGACUGCUGGGCUGGAAGUCGCUGACGAUGAUGCCGAGCUGCCGGAUGUUCUCCACGAACUUCUCCAGGUGCUCCUCCAGCGAGUCGAACUUCUCCGCCAUCGCCAUAGCGGCUCGCACUGCUUCCGGGCCACCGCGCAUGCGCGUCCUGCAUAGCAUUUCCAGGAAUUUGUCGGUAGACCCAAACUGGGCGGAUUGGGAUGCACACAACGUGAUGAAAUUGCCAGCACCUCUUCAGAAGGGGUCAGGAUGGAAGCUCCCUGCUCAGUCACUGCUGCAGCAGCCUCCCUGAUUGUGACAGCUGCAUCUGGACCUCGAAGAGCCUUUCUGCCCAGCUUCCAAAAUACAGCCCUGUCCAUUGCUAUAAAGCUAAAAUCCAAAUCUCAAAUCCACUCUCACCAUGGUUUUUCAGUCAUCGUGGUGCUGGGGUCUUUCAGUUCCUCUGGCUGUCCUGCUCUGUGUGGAAAUUAAGCAUUCCUUGAGCAGUGGAAAGAAAAGGUUUGAUG